Molecule: ribosomal RNA, 1475 nt
Filed under: uncultured bacterium
Lineage: Bacteria
Description: 16S ribosomal RNA
Rfam family: Bacterial small subunit ribosomal RNA
Source: RNAcentral
UGGCUCAGGAUGAACGCUAGCGGCAGGCUUAACACAUGCAAGUCGAGGGGCAUCGGGAGGAAAGCUUGCUUUCCUUGCCGGCGACCGGCGCACGGGUGAGUAACACGUAUGCAACCUGCCCUCUUCAGGGGGACAACCUUCCGAAAGGGAGGCUAAUCCCGCGUAUAUCGGUUUCGGGCAUCCGAGAUCGAGGAAAGAUUCAUCGGAAGAGGAUGGGCAUGCGGCGCAUUAGCUAGACGGCGGGGUAACGGCCCACCGUGGCGACGAUGCGUAGGGGUUCUGAGAGGAAGGUCCCCCACACUGGUACUGAGACACGGACCAGACUCCUACGGGAGGCAGCAGUGAGGAAUAUUGGUCAAUGGGAGAGAUCCUGAACCAGCCAAGCCGCGUGAGGGAAGACGGCCCUAUGGGUUGUAAACCUCUUUUGUCGGAGAACAAAACCCGGGACGUGUCCCGGACUGCGUGUAUCCGAAGAAAAAGCAUCGGCUAACUCCGUGCCAGCAGCCGCGGUAAUACGGAGGAUGCGAGCGUUAUCCGGAUUUAUUGGGUUUAAAGGGUGCGUAGGCGGUCCGUUAAGUCAGCGGUAAAAUUGCGGGGCUCAACCCCGUCGAGCCGUUGAAACUGGCAGACUGAGUUGGCGAGAAGUACGCGGAAUGCGCGGUGUAGCGGUGAAAUGCAUAGAUAUCGCGCAGAACUCCGAUUGCGAAGGCAGCGUACCGGCGCCAGACUGACGCUGAGGCACGAAAGCGUGGGGAUCGAACAGGAUUAGAUACCCUGGUAGUCCACGCAGUAAACGAUGAAUGCUGGUUGUCCGGGUCGAAUGAGACCUGGGCGGCGAAGCGAAAGCGAUAAGCAUUCCACCUGGGGAGUACGCCGGCAACGGUGAAACUCAAAGGAGUUGACGGGGGCCCGCACAAGCGGAGGAACAUGUGGUUUAAUUCGAUGAUACGCGAGGAACCUUACCCGGGCUCAAACGGGAGUGGAAUGGACCAGAGACGGUUCAGCCUACGGGCCGCUUCCGAGGUGCUGCAUGGUUGUCGUCAGCUCGUGCCGUGGGGUGUCGGCUUAAGUGCCAUAACGAGCGCAACCCCCGCCGGCAGUUGCUAACGGGCAAUGCCGAGGACUCUGCCGGGACUGCCGCCGCAAGGCGUGAGGAAGGCGGGGAUGACGUCAAAUCAGCACGGCCCUUACGUCCGGGGCGACACACGUGUUACAAUGGGCGGUACAGCGGGAAGCCAGGCGGCGACGCCGAGCGGAACCCGAAAGCCGUUCUCAGUUCGGAUCGGAGUCUGCAACCCGACUCCGUGAAGCUGGAUUCGCUAGUAAUCGCGCAUCAGCCAUGGCGCGGUGAAUACGUUCCCGGGCCUUGUACACACCGCCCGUCAAGCCAUGGGAGCCGGGGGUGCUUGAAGUGCGUCGCCGCGAGGCGCGCCCUAGAGCAAAACCGGUGACUGGGGCUAAGUCGUAACAAGGUA